This 388-nucleotide ribosomal RNA is filed under the name uncultured bacterium. RNAcentral describes it as "bacterial SSU rRNA". It matches the Rfam family "Bacterial small subunit ribosomal RNA", at positions 28 to 409 of the family's 1533-position model. The record is from RNAcentral.
GACGAACGCUGGCGGCGUGCUUAAUACAUGCAAGUGGAGCGACGAACCAGGCUUCGGCCUGGGGCAGAGCCGCGAACGGGUGAGUAACACGUGGGUAACCUGCCUCGAUGACCGGGACAACCCGGGGAAACCCGGGCUAAUACCGGAUGUGCUGUCCCCACAUCAGUGGAGACAGGAAAGGAAGCUUCGGCCUCCGCAUCGAGAUGGGCCCGCGGCCCAUUAGCUCGUUGGUGUGGUAACGGCUCACCAAGGCUGCGAUGGGUAGCUGGUCUGAGAGGACGAUCAGCCACACUGGGACUGAGACACGGCCCAGACUCCUACGGGAGGCAGCAGUAGGGAAUCUUGCGCAAUGCGCGAAAGCGUGACGCAGCAACGCCGCGUGGGGGAA